RNAcentral lists this unclassified non-coding RNA (346 nucleotides) under uncultured fungus. RNAcentral describes it as "partial contains small subunit ribosomal RNA, internal transcribed spacer 1, and 5.8S ribosomal RNA". The stretch from base 1 to 131 matches the Rfam family "Eukaryotic small subunit ribosomal RNA", at positions 1759 to 1831 of the family's 1831-position model. The record is from RNAcentral. Lineage: Eukaryota; Fungi.
GCAAACUUGGUCAUUUAGAGGAAGUAAAAGUCGUAACAAGGUUUCCGUAGGUGAGUAGAUGGAUUCCUCGCUACAUUUGUAUCUAGGAUUUUGCUAACAGUUUUCCAGGUGAACCUGCGGAAGGAUCAUUACUGAGGUACGAGCCUUCGGCUCGAACCCCCACCCUUUGUUGAUUUGCCUUGUUGCUUCGGCGGGCCGUCGGUCCCCGCCCCCGGCUAUGGCUGGGGUGUGCCCGCCGAAGGACCGCAUCAAACACAGUGAAGAACAAGAAGUCUGAGUCCACAAUGAAUCAGUCAAAACUUUCAACAACGGAUCUCUUGGUUCUGGCAUCGAUGAAGAACGCAGC